RNAcentral lists this unclassified non-coding RNA (116 nucleotides) under Epilithonimonas lactis. RNAcentral's name for it is "Chryseobacterium halperniae Flavo-1 RNA". Lineage: Bacteria; Pseudomonadati; Bacteroidota; Flavobacteriia; Flavobacteriales; Weeksellaceae. The record is from RNAcentral.
ACCGCGCCCCGACUUGAGUGGAGCUCUUUUUGUCAUUGCGUUUGCUGAAUCGUUCUAUGGAUUGCUUCCCGUCUUUCGCAAUGGCAAAAAAGCGGGAACGGAAGGCGGAUAAAGGC